AGCUUCCCCUUAAAUCUGGCACGUCUUUGGCGAGGGGCUCGCAACCCCGCGCGCCCAGGCACGGCAUCGCCAAAAGCGCUGCGAAAGGCACGCGCUGCUCUGAUCCUUUUGGGAUUUAAACGCCCCGGGACGUCGGGGGCCGAUGAUGCCGAAGGGAUUUGGGAAGGGUAGGGGCCGCGCCAGGAGCUCCCGCACCCCUCUACUCCUGCCCUUCCCCCGGAGCGGCAGCUUACCUGAGUGCCUGUUGGAAGUGCUGCUGCAAUGGAUUGUGGUCAAAAAAUGCCCCUCAGCUGCUACUUGGAGGGAAUGGGCAAUAAAACACAGGUGCUGAUAGCAGAAGAGCAUUUGGACAAAUUCCACCUGUUAUGUGAAGAACAUCUCCUUUUAUUUCUUCAAACCUGUGUCUUGCUAGCUCUCAUUAAUGCCCCUAAUUCUUCUGUUUGAAAAACCAGCAGCCACUUGAUUUCUAGACACCUUUCCACAGCUCCCCCUUGCCUGUAAACCAGUGCCUGCUAAGUGCUGCAUCCCCACUUGCCUGCCUUCCCUGAGUGCCCGUAGAGCUGGGUCCAAACUGCUGGAUGUUGCUGUGCUGCAAGAGGAACAGGGAAGGGCAAAAUGAGUCAGUGGGUGAGUAUCCACAGUGCAACAAUCAAGGAGGUAGUCUAUGUAAACCACGUUUUGUUCAGUAUUUUUUCAAAAAAAGCACCACAGUAGCAGAAUGGACAAUUUGUAGAUAAAACCUGUAUCAGUUCAGAGUACAGAGUAAUGUACAGAGUCAUUCCCUGAGGUGGUAGGGAUUUCCUUCAUCUCACCAUGGAUUAUCAUGUAAUAGCCAAAUAUGUACAAUUGUAAACUAUAUGAUAUUUUAUCAAAUGUCAGACAAGCACCUUAAAGCUUUGCUCUUAAUGAAAGAUAAUCAAAGUUCAAAAUUAUCAGGUGAUCUGAAACGAUUUAGAAAUCAGAUGUUGUGGACUGAUCUCUCAGAGAGUAGUUGGACAAAGAAACAAAACCUGCAACUACUAGACACUAUCAUAAGCAUUCUGUGUUAUGAUUUAAAGUGAGAUAGUUUAAGGAAGUGUCUGAGGAAGAUUAUUCCAUCCAGAUUAUAGCCAUAGAAGGAUGCCAGGACAACUGAGGAAAUUUUGUAUUCAAUGAGGUUUGUAAAAACAAAAUAAAAACCAGGAGUCUAUUUUGUGAACUUUUCAUUAACAAGUGAUUGUGAACACUGGGUAGGGGGGGGGGGGGGGGUUCUGCAGGUUUUUUUUAGCAAUGUAGGUUUUGGCCAUCCUUGAUUGUUCCAUUAACACAUUUAUUUGUUCAUUGCUCAUGGUCCUGCUAUGAUGAAAGAAUGAUCUUUUGACAUCCAGUAAUAUUUUUGCUUUGAUCCUGUAACUAAAUGAUGCUAGCCAGAAAAUUAUUUUAAUUUUGUCCUUAUUUCACAUGGUAUACUUAUUAUUCACUUUGGUUUUGGCACACACAGCAUGGAAACUUAACCCAAAUAACCAGUAAUGUCUUUGCAAUAAUAUUAAGCAAUAUUUGGCAAUUAUUUCACUGUAUGUUUUUGGAAGGUGUUUGACACUGACCUGAUUUCAAAUGGGAAAAAUUGUGAGUUUAUGAAACCAAGCAUGGAAAUAUAAACUAAACAGCCAGUCAUCUCCAGCAGGAACACAGCAAUUAUACUCUUCCAAUAAUAUUUAGUUUCAACUGGAAAUCAAUAAACAGCAGGUAAGGAGUGAAUAGGAGGCCAAAUAAUUUCUACGAAAGAGACUAAGAAGGUGGCUAGGCAGGACUUUGUUUUGACCUUUAUAUUUUGUCUUAAUUCUCAAAAUUUAUAUUUUGUCUUAACUCAUCUUAGAGUAGGUAACUGGAUUUUACAGUGUCCUUGAAGUCAUUCAGCCUGCUGUAGAAUAAUUAAAAGAAUGUUGAUUGAUGUGUGUUGCUGUAUUGGAAGCCACUGAUAUACUGAUAUGUUUGUACAAAGAGUGUUGUAGAGGGAGCUAUAUACAAACCUUGAAUUUUAUAUCACAAUGAAUUUUUAAAAUCAAUUUUUGGUCUUGCCAAAUGGAUAAAAAAAGAGAUUAUUCCAAAACAUAGGCAUCCUGUAAGUACAGGUGAGUCUAAUAGGUAGGGUAAGAAAACAAUACAUUGUUUAUGGAAAAAAUAGUUGAUACUGCCUGACUGAGGGCACAGUCUAUGAAACUAUUUAUGGAGUAAUAUAAUACCAGUCUUGACAGGACAUCUGUAAUGGCUAAUAUUAUUGACAUGUAAGAGUUAGGAAAGUUUGGGACAGAAUCAGUUAAAGUUACUUGGUAAGGAGCAAGAUGGUUAGUUCAGGGGUUUUAGUCUGGUUAGAUUGGAUUUCAAAUCUCAAAUCUUAUUUCAUUUCAGGAUUAGUUUACGUGUCUUCACCAGCCAGGUAAUAUUAUCCAUUUUUUAUAACUUAAACAUAGAACUAAAAAGAUUCAUAAUAUCAACAUCAACUAGGUGAUGAGUUUUGAGUCAUGAAUGUGGUGGUAGAUGUUAGAAUUGUUGUUAUUGUUAUUAUCCUCAUCAUCAUUGCUAUCCUCCUCAGAUUUCACAAGAUCAUUUCAGAUUUUCACAAGAUCUCCAGUCAAACUUGCUUAAUCUGGGUUUAGGUGAUAAUACUUUCUGCUAGUUCCUAGUGAUUAACUGUAGUGGGGAAAGGUAGAUAAACUACAUCUCAGUCACGUUUUUUUGUGGGUAUUUGAAGUUUUAUUUCACAUAGGAUAGUCUCAAAUCUGCCAAGACGUAAAAAUUGUUAGGUAAUUUUCUGUUUCCUGUUGAAUUCUGUGAUAACCUGAGAAGUUGCCUGGGCUGUGUUCUUUUCAUAUCACUAAAAGUUAGAAGUGGAGUGGCAGUUCCACAAAUAAAUAUGCAGCUUCAACAUAAAAGAAACUUUCUGAAAAAUCUGAAAAACCAUUUGCCAGAGAUGAAGUAUUAGAUGGUAGAAGUGCUCUUUGAAUUUGUUGUACAAGUCCAGGUCUGUUUCAGGUGCAAGAAGAGUUCAGUUUUAACAGGAUAGUUCCAACUAUGAAACCAAACGCUGUCUAUGAUUUAUUGGUUAGUUUAAGGUAACUUAUGCAGUAAGCCUUUAUGUGUGUUCAGAGAUAUUAAUUUAAAAUUAAUUACAAUUAGCUGGUUUUUUUUAAAAAAAAAAACAAACCAACAUAUUGAUUUUCUGGCUUGCAAUGUGAAGACACUACUUUUACUCUGACAUUUAACUCAACACUGAAAUUAUGGCCUCUGCUUUCUAACAGAUGAAUCCUAAAGAGGUAUUAUGAACAAGUUAAAAUCUACUGUAAUUUCUCUCCAAGCAUUCAUUGUCUGCAGGAGGCAUGGAUAAACAAUUUUCACUAAUAAUCUGAAUCACAUAAAAUAUUAGUUACAAUGAAUUCUUAAAAAUAUUCUACACAGUUUUUAUUCAUAACUACCAUUUUUUGUAAUGAAAAAGUACUUUUGAUAUAUACUUAGGGCCAAUUCAUUCUUGGCUUUUUGUUAGCUCAAAAACUUGCCUUUGAAUGUGGAGAAAAUGCAAUAGGUGGAAAUUUCCUAGAACUGCAAAUUACUUCAAAUUUGUUUUGCCCAGCAUUUACAAUAGCUAAAAUUCUUUUAGUAAUGUCUACUGGUUGUUAUUUAAAUUGCAGACACUGAAAAUCACACAGUUGUGUGGUGAAGGGACAAGGGAACACAUGCAUUGCUGGAAGACAGUAGGCUUUAUAAGGAGUUUCCUAUUUGAAUAUUUACUUAAAUACUUACCAUUUUGAAUGUUUUCAUUUACAUUUCACAGAAGCACAUUGAUUAUGUUAAAAUACAGUAAGAGGAGUGAAACCAAUCCACUUUCCCUAAUUCUGAAGAGCAGAAAUGGAUGGCUGUCUCGGUGACCUUUUGCUUUCUUCAGAGUCUCCUAGAAGAUGUUGCAGUUGUUAAAUCUGGGAAUUGCUCAUAGCAGAACUGAUAAAGGAAAUGAUUUAUGAAUCAAAGGCAUUGCUGGACAGUGUUAACAAAUGGCCUGCCACUUUUUCUGCUGGAAGCCAAUGGGCUGAUGGAUGUUGCAGGAUGGUGAUGCUGUUCUUGCUGCCAGGCUGAGGAAAGGUCUGUCUACAAAAGCCUUCUCCUGUCUACAGUCACAUGCAUGUGCUGUCAUCUCUCUUCGUCCCUGAGCUGAGAGAAGCUUCUCCAGAAAAGGGGUCCAUGUUGGCCUUUGGGCAGUUUCCAGAAAUGCCCAUUGCUGAGAUGUACACAAGCUCUGUUCAGAUUGAUUGCUUGGAAGUUGUGCCUAGCCUUACUUGCAGCAGGAAGUUUUCAAAUGUAUUUGGUAAUUCAGUUAGAGCUUGAAGCUUGGAAUUUAUUAGCUGCUGUUCUAAUUAAAAUUGCUGCAUAAAAAAACUUCUUGUGAGCAAGUGCCGUUGUCUGAUGAAUGCUGAAAUGAGGUGCCUCCUUUUUGAAAAGCCUGUCAUACAAGACCUGAAAGAAAAGCCUCUAGUCAAAAAGCAUGUAUUACAGAUAUUUGUAAUUAGGCUCAGUUAAAAAUAUUAAAUUUCUACAUUUUUAAUGUAAAGAUUUGGAAAAACCAAGAUAAAUUCCUAAAUGAGGUAGACUGAUUCCCCCAAGGGACUACCUCCAUUGUGUUAGUUCCACUGUAGUAAUUUUUAAGUGUUAUUUUUAUAUGCUACUCAAAAUAUUUUAUGCAAUCUUUUCCCCAGCGUAUUUCAAUAGAAGGAUCAGUUGUCUGGAAAGGUAGAGGUGGGCUUCUUUUUUCAGUACUUUUGAUAGGUAUUUCUCAUAACUCUAGGUUCUGGUACUGGUCCUGAAGAAUGGAAAGGAAACAUGCCAUUGUUAAAUGAGAGAUGUUAAAAACCAAAGCAAUUAGCUGUGAGCAUUAGGCAUCCAAUUCAGCUUUUUUAUAUACAUACUUUAUGUAAUCUUCAAGAACAGUAUUUCUUAGAUGCAAAACUGCUGUUAUAAUAUUUGUCUACGAUGUGUAAGCUUGACAGCCAGAAGAGCUAAAAAUGUCCCUUGUGUUGUGCGAAAACACUUGGAGAAUACUUGGAAAGACGUACACUUGCAAAACAAUUGCUUCUUUGUUUCUUGCAAACUUCAGUAACUUGAAAUUCCCCAAAUGUCAAAUAACUAAAUUAUUUAUUACUUAGAAUUCAUAGUCUCCUUGCUUUCUUAAGCCCUUUAAAUUUUAUUUUUUUUUUAAUUUUAAGAAAUGUUAAAUCUUGUGAUGAAUAUUAACUGACAGUUUGGAAGUAUUUAUACAAGAGUACCUGGAUUCUAUGGUCUAGUAGUGAUCAUCAGUACGAUGGCUCUUGUGCUCAAAGACAGAGAGAUGUCAUAGAGAAAUGAAUUUGUUCUUGCUAAAUAAUGGGAUUUUACAAGGCAAACAAGAGGCUGAAGUUUAUAGAAAAUUCUUGUAUCUGCCUACAGGUUUGAGAUUUCAUGAGAUUUAAAAAUUAUUUUUUAAUAACUAAAUAAGAAAUUCUGGAAUCACACCACAGUAAAAAAUUGUAAUUACUUUUAUGACAUUCAAAUCUCUGGUAGUAAUUCUAGUUGAAUAGACUGCUUAAAAGAAAUUAUUUUUAAGCUGAUUUCAAGGUUUAUGGAAGAGACUUAUGCUGUGGUAUUGUCUGUCCAUCUGCCAUUUUAACACUACUAUCUCUCCUUUAAGUGGUGUGAAAAAUUAGGGGCUGCAUGGAGGAAAGAGGCUCAGAUUUGUGUGCUGCUGAGGAAAGGCGGGGCAGAAAGCUAAACACUCCAUUCUUUACUAGACAGCAGUGGGCAAAGUCUAACUUUGGACUAUCCACAUUGCAUAUGCUCUCUUGCCUCUUUUAUGGGUUGAAGGGGACCAUUUUUCAUUAGUUCUAUUUAUCACAGAAGAGCUCAUUUGAAUGGCAUUGCUAUAGCUACCUGAGCUCCAAAAGACAGGAUUUUGAAAACCAAUAUCAUAUGCUUUAUUAAAUUCAAGUCUUAAGUAAGGCUAUAUAUAAUCAUUUUAAUUUCUGAGGUUUCACAAGUAAUCCUGCUUAAAUAUAUAGAGAAGAUUUAUCAUAAGUUGUUAGAGCCAUUUUUCUUGAUUAUCACUUACUGAGGCUUCAAAGUAUUCACUUCAAAGUGCUUAAAAGCCAAAUAUGGUGUUUUUUUUCUUGCCACAGCAUCCAGUAACCUAAUAAAAGACAGAUUAUACUGAUUUACUGUGAAGUACAAGGGAUAACUAAAAUAUUAGGGUUGUUUUUACAUGUUUGCCCCAUAAGUUUGUGAGUUAUUCCAGUACUACAGACAAUAUAGAUAAUUUUAUAUUACAGGUACAGAACAUUCAUGUAUUUUAAAAAAUCCUAUUUGACAUUAGUAUGACAAAGGGCAUGACAGAAAGGGACUUCAGUCUUGAAGCCACAGGGACUCAUGGUCAUCUGGCAUUUCUGCUAGGAAUCUGUCUAAAGGCAGAGUCCCUGGAGAAGCCCUGUCCUGCAUGGCUUUUGGCAGGAGACCAUGAGGAUGCUGCCCUCAGAACACAAUGCUGUCUUGCAGGCAAUGUGCAGCUGGCCACUCUGGUUGUGCCUUGUGUGCCAGCAGGCUGCCUUCGGCCACUCUAAGCCCCUUGGCAUACUUGGAUGCAUGCCUGCUGUCCCCCUUGCAGUUCUUCUGUAGGGACAGGCACUUCUCCAGACAUCCUUCAGAAGUCCGUGAAGAACUUUUCCUUGGCUUGUCAGCACGUUUUAGGUCACUGCUGAGGCUGUGGAUUUCACUCUUUGAGAAAGUUUCAGUGUCAAAUAAUUUUCCUUUAGGUGAGAGCUUAGAUCCCGUGGAGGGUUCUGAAAAGAAAAGCAGAAUAAUUUCAUUCUGGUUUAACCUGAUGGGUGCUGGGUGACUGGUGUGGCAGAAAGAGUUGGGCUGAUGCACUUUGAACUCACUGGAGCAAGUCAGCAUCAGUUUAAAAUGGCAAAGCUGUUCUUGCAGUGGCCAAACAUGGGAGCUACACUUAUAAGAAAGAACUUCAAUUAAAUCCAAUCAGGAUAGGACAGAAAGGUUAUAUAGUGACUGAAAUUAUAGGAAAUACUCUGCUAUGUAAUGUUCUGAUUUCAGUAGCGCAGCUGCACCAUUUUGCACAAUUAAAUUCUUUCUUGCUUCUUAGCAAGCAUUAGAAAUCACCCAGUUCUCUCAAUUAUGUUGAAGUCAUUGAAAUAAUUAUGGGAUCUCAACAUACCAAGAGUCAAAACAUUAAUUUAGGAAAGUUAUGGGCAACCAAAAAGAAUGUAAGAAUUGCAUCAGACUAGACUGAUAGUACAUAAGGAUAAUACUAACUGUAUAUAUAUGUAUAUAUAUAUAAUAUAUAUAAUAUUUGGAUUGCUGCUGUGGACUUAGAUCCACACUCUUCAAAAUACUUCACCAUAUAUUAUGAUUUUGAAUACAUCUAUGAGAUAUUAUUUCUGUUAUUUAUUUUAUGGACCUCUUACAUCACAAUGACCCUGGAAAAGCAAAAGGUCACCUCCAGUCACAGUAGGAAGAAUGGGUGAAUGAUGAAGACACCAUGCAGUCCAGUCUGGUUUUCCAAAGAAAAUGGUGCAUAGCUCCACUGCAUGCUUGUAGAGUGCUGCAUGGUGUAGUGGAGAGCUUCAGGAGGAAGUUCUGGGAGAUAAGAUACUUCAAUUCUGAGGGACCAGCCUUAAAUCCUCUGGGGACAGAAACUGAUUCCAUCUUUUGGAUGUCAAGGAGAGGAUACAAAAGCUGAAAACUAGAGAUAUCAGAUUGCUGAACUAAAAAAAAAAAAAUCAAUUAUUGGCAUAGCCCUGUUCAAUUCAGUCUUCUGUGAAAGCUGGCAGCAAGAAGUUCUACAAGCUGUUUUAGACUGCAGUUACGUCGAAUUUACUGUAAAUGACAGUGAACUAUUACUUAACAUUCACAGACUCUACCCAUUCAUCUCGUCAAGCUGCUUGGGCUGAUGCUGUCAGCUGCCACUGCUUUUAUGCUCACUGUAGAUACUACAAGGAUCUCUCACUCUCCAAAAACUAGUUCUGUUUUGGAUAUCUAAGAGAAAAAGGAGACACCUCCACUUGUUUUUGUUUGGUAGAAUCUGGAAGCAGAAAAAAUACAUUCUGCAUCAGAAUGUUUAUUUGCACAUCUUGUUCCCUCCUUCCUUCUCAAUUCAAUGCGCGAAUUUUUGAUAAUUUUCUGCUGUACUGCUCAUCACUGUCAAUUUUGUGAGCAGGUGAAAUAUGCUCUUCUCAGGUAUCCUCUAGACCGGAAAAAUAUCACCGGGGUUUUGACAACAUCCAGUGCAAUUUGAACUCCUAUUUAGAAGAAUAAAGCAAUAUAAACAUGCAAACAUGAAGAGGCAGGUAGUUGUCACUUGCCCAGUCCUGCAGAAAACACUACAGGUGUCUACACACACUUAUGAGAUUGUCCCCGGAAUCUUCUCCAGGCAGAAGAAUCUCAGCUCUCCUCACAUGAGAUGCUCCAGUCCCUCAGUCAUCUCCACAGCCCUUCACUGUCUUUCUUCCAGUAAGUCCAUAUCUCGCCAGUACUGGGGAAUCCAGAACUGGGCUCAGUAUUUCAGACAUGGCCUCAGCAGUAUUGGGUAGAAAUAAAAGGUAACACCCUUCAAUCUGCUGGUAAUGCUCUUCCUAAUGCAGCCCAGAAUGCUGUUGGUCACCUCUGUCACUAUGGUUUAUUGCUGGUUGACAUUCACCUUGUUUCCCACCAGGAUCCCAAGCUCUUUCUCUAUGCAGCUGUUCCUCAGAAACUCAGUGAGUACUGGUGCAUGGGGCUAUUGCUCUGCCUUAGCAGAUAUGUUGGCAGAACUUUGCAUUUCCCUUUUCAUAUUCCUCUCUGCCCAGUUCCACCAUGUGUCAAUGUUCACUUCCUCCAAUUUUGUAUCUCUGAAUUUGCUGAGGGUUUGCUUUACCCCACU
This is a long non-coding RNA of Passer domesticus (house sparrow), 8929 nucleotides long. RefSeq lists it as uncharacterized. The transcript has 11 exons. NCBI's taxonomy places the organism in Eukaryota, Metazoa, Chordata, Aves, Passeriformes, Passeridae. The record is from RefSeq and is a predicted model, not a curated record.